GUCCACGCCGUAAACGAUGGAUACUAGCUGUUGGGCGCAAGUUCAGUGGCUAAGCGAAAGUGAUAAGUAUCCCACCUGGGGAGUACGUUCGCAAGAAUGAAACUCAAAGGAAUUGACGGGGGCCCGCACAAGCGGUGGAGCAUGUGGUUUAAUUCGAUGAUACGCGAGGAACCUUACCAAGGCUUAAAUGUAGUCUGACAGGCGUGGAAACAAUGCUUUUCUUCGGACAGAUUACAAGGUGCUGCAUGGUUGUCGU
RNAcentral lists this ribosomal RNA (256 nucleotides) under uncultured bacterium. RNAcentral's name for it is "partial 16S ribosomal RNA". It matches the Rfam family "Bacterial small subunit ribosomal RNA", at positions 793 to 1055 of the family's 1533-position model. The record is from RNAcentral.